RNAcentral lists this ribosomal RNA (271 nucleotides) under uncultured bacterium. Its description in RNAcentral is "partial 16S ribosomal RNA". It matches the Rfam family "Bacterial small subunit ribosomal RNA", at positions 27 to 297 of the family's 1533-position model. The record is from RNAcentral.
GGACGAACGCUGGCGGCGUGCUUAACACAUGCAAGUCGAGCGGUAAGGCCCUUUCGGGGGUACACGAGCGGCGAACGGGUGAGUAACACGUGGGUGACCUGCCCUCAGCUCUGGGAUAAGCCGUGGGAAACCGGGGUCUAAUACCGGAUAUGACUCCAUGACGCAUGUUGUGGGGUGGAAAGCCUUGUGCGGCUGAGGAUCGGGCCCGCGGCCUAUCAGCUUGUUGAUGGGGGAUGGCCUACCAAGGCGACGACGGGUAGCCGGCCUGAGA